This 824-nucleotide long non-coding RNA is filed under the name Homo sapiens (human). Its description in RNAcentral is "HSALNT0325354". The record is from RNAcentral. Lineage: Eukaryota; Metazoa; Chordata; Mammalia; Primates; Hominidae.
GUUGUUUUCUACAGUGUGGAAGCUUUGUUUUUUUUCCUCUUUGCAAUCAAUCUAGCUGCUGCUCACUCUUUGGGUCCGCCAUUGCCUUUAUGGGCUGUUAACGCUCACCGCGAAGGUCUGCAGCUUCCCUCCUGAAGCCAGCGAAACCACGAACCGACCGGGAGGAGCGAAUAACUCCAGACGCGCCACCUUAAUAGCUGUAACAGUCACCUCGAAGGUCCGCAACUUCACUCCUAAGCCAGCGAGAUCACGAACCCCACCAGAAGGAAGAAAUUCCGAACAUAUCCGCACAUCAGAAGGCACAAAUUCCGGACACGCCGCCUUUAAGAACUGUAACACUCACAGCGAGGGUCCGCGGCUUCAUUCUUGAAGUCAGUGAGACCAAGAACCCGCCAAUUCCGGACACACUAUGAUCAUACCACUGCACUCCAGCCUGGAGUACAAGAGUACUGCUCUGUCCCCCAGGCUGGAGUGCAGCCCUGUGACUUGGCUCACUACAGCUUCAAACUUCUGAGCUCAAGCAAUCCUCCUACCUCAGCCUCCCAAGCAGCCGGGACUACAGGCAAGUGCCACCACAUCUAGCUAACUUUUUGUAUUUUUUGUAGAGACGGAGUCUCGCUAUGUUGCCCAGGCUGGUCUUGAACUCCUAGGAUCAAGUGAUUCUCCCACCUCAGCCUCCCAAAGUGCGUGAGUCACUAUGCCUGGCCAUUAACUACUCUUUUCUUUUUCUUUUUUUUUUUUUUUGAGACGGAGUCUCGCUCUGUCUCCCAGGCUGGAGUACAGUCAUGCAAUCUUGGCUCACUGCAACCUCCGCCUCCUGGGUU